This 74-nucleotide transfer RNA is filed under the name Mycoplasmoides pneumoniae. RNAcentral's name for it is "tRNA-Gly". It matches the Rfam family "tRNA". Rfam says of the family: Transfer RNA (tRNA) molecules are approximately 80 nucleotides in length. Their secondary structure includes four short double-helical elements and three loops (D, anti-codon, and T loops). Lineage: Bacteria; Bacillati; Mycoplasmatota; Mycoplasmoidales; Mycoplasmoidaceae. The record is from RNAcentral. RNAcentral also lists the same sequence under 8 other names.
GCGAGUAUAGUUUAGUGGUAGAACAUCAGCCUUCCAAGCUGAUCGUGUCGGUUCGAUUCCGAUUACUCGCUCCA